AUACGUAGGGGGCGAGCGUUGUCCGGAAUGACUGGGCGUAAAGGGCGUGUAGGCGGUUGAAUAAGUCUGGAGUGAAAGUCCCGGUUUCAAGUUGGGAACUGCUUUGGAUACUGUUCAACUUGAGUGCGGAAGAGGUAAGUGGAAUUCCCAGUGUAGCGGUGAAAUGCGUAGAGAUUGGGAGGAACACCAGUGGCGAAGGCGAUUUACUGGGCCGUAACGGACGCUGAUGCGCGAAAGCGGGGGGAGCGAACAGGAUUAGAUACCCUGGUAGUCCUUGCCGUAAACGGUGGGCGCUAGGUGUAGGGGUCUGCCACGGCUUCUGUGCCGUAGCUAACGCAUUAAGCGCCCCGCCUGGGGAGUACGGCCGCAAGGCUGAAACUCAAAUGAAUUGGCGGGG
Molecule: ribosomal RNA, 397 nt
Filed under: uncultured bacterium
Lineage: Bacteria
Description: partial 16S ribosomal RNA
Rfam family: Bacterial small subunit ribosomal RNA
Source: RNAcentral